Molecule: long non-coding RNA, 1782 nt
Organism: Salvia splendens (bonfire salvia)
Lineage: Eukaryota; Viridiplantae; Streptophyta; Magnoliopsida; Lamiales; Lamiaceae
Exons: 6
Source: RefSeq, a predicted model, not a curated record
UUUGUGUGUUAUACGGCGUUUUUCUACUUUUUCUAAUCCACUAUUCUCUUCUUUGUACAUACAUAUAGAUAUAAUUUUUGUUUAGUUGUAGGAAGUGGAAUACAUACAACAGUUUAUAAUUUUUGUGUCCUUGGAAUUCUUCUACAUGUUGCACUACUAAACCUGUAACCCUUUUCUUGGCUGUAUGCAGGAAAGAAUUUAUGUGACUUAGAUUACUGAGUUGUGUGCCAAUUCUGUUACGUUUGAGGCUUCUGAUGUAAUUUAGCAUAUUCUCGUGUCACUCUUAGUCGAUUUGAAGGCCUCUCUAAGCAUUUGGAUUCAUUCUAUUUGAAGGCCUCUCUAAGCAUUUAGAUUCAUUCUUUCCAAUGUUAUCUCUUGUGCAACUAAGGUGUUUUCUAUGAUAGUUCCUAGUGCAUAAAUAGAGUAGAAUAUACUUAGUCGAUCUGAAGGUCGGGGGUGGUAGGUGGCAACUGAGUUUUUAACUUAUAAGAAAUGGGGGAAGGUGUGGAAAAUAGAAGGCACAAGUCUAUUUAUUGGUUUUUGAGCUUGCUUUGCUUGGUCUUCUGCUUCCUGGUUGUUGCGCCUAUAUUUUUCUACUUAUUUUAUUCAUUCUUUACUGUCUUUUGCAGCUAUAUAAUUAAACUAUUACAUAUAUUAAAUUUUUGUUUGUUAUACUGUGCUUGACGUUUUUCAUCUUUUUCUAAUCCAAUUUUUGCUACCUUGCAGCAUAAUUAAUUAAUACAUGCAUAGUAUCCUAUUUUUCUUUGUCUCCAUGCUGUGUACAAAUAUGUGCAAUAUUAGUGUUUCUUAGAUAUGUAAACCCCAUCGAUUGUCAAAUCUUGGCUUCUUAAUAUAUCUGUUAAACGCUUUUACAGGCUCUUUCCCAAGUAAAGUUACUUACUAGACACAUUUCCUUUUUACUUUGGCAUUCAGUUUGCUGUAUUGCAUCUAAAAAAGAAAUCAUGGGCCUUGGAAGCUGGUGGAGCAAUCAAUGAGUGUCAAGUAAAGAUACUUUCUAUAAGGAUCAGUCAUUAAGCAUCAAUGUGUGACUCGCCUUACGUGGGGUAUUGCUUUACGAGCUGUUUUAGAUGCUUUGAGGAAGCCUGCAGAUUCAGAAGUUUGUUCCUUCCUAGUUUAUCAGUUAAUGUUAUUAUUGUGAAUUUCAGUCUUACCUUGGAUUUAUGACAUUCCUUUGGGAGUAUGGCAUUGGAGCAGUUUGUGGACCAUCUCAUUGAGUGGCCACAGUAUGCCAUCAUAUCCUGCACUUUGUAGCAUUUAUAGAUAGGGCACUCAACAGUAUUUCGGCGGCUUAUUCUGAACGUGAUGUUGGCCAUACUGCCAAUACUGAUCACCGACACGGUCAUAUUCAAUCUUCAGCUCCACAUAUAGAGAUUGUAUGCCCAUCAUUUUCUCUGAUCGGACCCAGCAGCAAUUGUCUGGAUUAGCAAUUCCCUCUUCGAUCCCACUGCAACAGAGACCACCAAGUUCUCAGUUCACUCCUAAUUACAUGAAUCCAUCACAACACACCUACCCUUCCUAAGUCACUCAGUGGUGCUUUGCUGUCAAUACAAUCUGCCUGGUCGGAUUUCCAUGGUCUUCUAGAUCAACCUCAGCAAGUAAAUAAUCAGGCUGUCAUGAACUUAAAGUUAUCGUGCUCAGACAAUAUUUCCUCAUACAUGGCUGUUAUCUCCUGCCUAAAAUCUAAAGCUUUAUCUAUUCUUUUGCAACUCUGUGAAGCUGAAGUGUAUCAUAUACCUGGAUGAGGUGGCCAGCAACACAGCA